Molecule: long non-coding RNA, 2046 nt
Filed under: Glycine max (soybean)
Lineage: Eukaryota; Viridiplantae; Streptophyta; Magnoliopsida; Fabales; Fabaceae
Description: long non-coding RNA (GMAX_LNC002309)
Source: RNAcentral
ACACUUCUACUGCAUGAAAAGCAAGCUAAUAAUAUCCUGUCAGAAAGGAAAUCAAUCACAGCCUUGUCAGCCACUACACAAGAGCCACAGAUAGCAAAAUUUCUUGUCGCUGAGGAAGGUCCAGCUCAGGAAGAUUCUGAUUUGUGUCAGGAAGGAAAUAAUGGAUGUAUGCAUCAAUAUAUUCAUACAAAGCAAAUUGCCAACAGGUAUCAAUCAGAAGCAUGUUUUGAAAACUCACAGAAGACCAGAGAACCAAUUUGUCAGAAUACCCUUCAGUUGGUGCCUAACAUCCUCUCCAAUUCCAUUGAAGCAGCAAAGGGUUCCAAGAGAAAAUAUCGCAAAAGAACUCAGAAGCAACAUGACUCAGCCACAAAUUCAUGUGAUACUUCCUUGUGCCAAGAGACUUUACAAGCACAUGGAAAUUUCAGAGGUGCAACUCCUGCCAAAGAUGUUAUUAAAAAACAGAAGAUUAAAAAAACUCAAAAUAGACACAAUGCAAAAAUCAGUGGAAGGUCUUCCAGCCAAAUAAUGUCUAAAGAGAAAAUUGGAUUUCAUACACAGUCUAAUGAAGAAAUACCAUAUAUCUGUAUUGAAAGUAAUAGAUUUGUAGAGCAGCAAAACAAUGGAACCCUCACUGGGGAAUGCUUUGCUAUCUCAGGUAAUGCAUGUUUUAUAAAAGGAAUGCAGUUUUCAGAAAACAUAUUUAUAUAGUAAUAAUUAACUGUUUCUUAAUUUUCAGAGGAACAUUCUAAUUUGAUAGAUGAGAUAAUUUGUCGACCGAAUGAUCUCAAACUUAGGGAGAGCAACAUGUCAGAGAUGGAAGGACUAAAGGCACUAGUCCCAUAUAAUGGAGAUCGUUCUGUUGUACCCUAUCAGGAGUUUGAAUUACUUAAAAAACAUAAACCAAGGCCUAAAGUGGAUCUUGAUGCAGAAACAGAGAGAACCUGGAAACUAUUGAUGGGCAAAGUAGGAAGUGAAGGCCUUGAAGAAACUGACAAGGAAAAAGAGAAGUGGUGGGACAAAGAAAGAAAUGUUUUUCACGGACGAGUUGAUUCUUUCAUUGCACGGAUGCAUCUUAUUCAAGGUAAGAUACAUCAUACACAAACAUCAAGUACCAAGAAGCCCAAAACAAGCAGAUACUGUAUGCACUCAAGACAGACAUUUUAUUACUUUCUAUAAUAUCUAUAACACCUCUCUUUCUUUGAAAAUAAAGAUAGUUAGCAUUGAACUUCUCAUUCUAAAGAUAUUGGAUUUAUCAAAAUGUGUUGGAAUUAUCGGUUUAGGUAGGGAAGAUAGAAAAAUGAUUAAUCAGAUACAAUACCCUAACUUAAUACUCCAAUCAUAAUAUUAAUUAGGUUGAGUAAUAGUACUACUACCACAAUGAUGGAAAGUCACCUUAAUUGUUGUCCUCCCUAGCUCGCUGCUUUAAUUACAGCCUCACUGGUGGUGGUUUAUCCCACAUCGACUAGUGAUGAGGCUAUUUUUUUGGGGGAGGGGGGCUUACAAGACAGUUUUGAAGGGAUUCAAUUAGGCUCAUAACCCAUGUUCUAAGACACAAGCACAAACCUACUUAUAUUAGGAUUAAUAACUGUAAUAUUCGAACAGCAUGCAUUCUAAAGAACAGUUAAACAUAAAGGAAUAGAAACAUCUAGAGGCACCCAGCCAUGAAUAGACAAUAAAAUCCUUAAUAUUUUCAGUAACAGCCCUUCAGCAUAUUUAUUAAUGGCAAAAACAGAAACCAAUGAUUUAUUAAAUUAUUCACUUGAUUGCUAAAACUUUUCACCUGUCAACAUAUAUUUAUAAAAUCAAUUAUACCUCUACUUUGCAGGAGAUAGACGCUUUUCAAAGUGGAAAGGAUCUGUUGUUGACUCAGUGAUAGGUGUUUUCCUCACUCAGAAUGUUUCAGAUCAUCUUUCAAGGUAAGCUAAAUAUCAUAUAUAGGUGUUUUCCUCACUCAGGAUGCUUCAUCAAAAUUGCCAAUGCUAGAACAUGAUGAUGAGCAACCCAACAGAAAAAUUUAUGCUUCUUUCCUUUCUUUGCAGCUCU